This 310-nucleotide ribosomal RNA is filed under the name Extubocellulus spinifer. Its description in RNAcentral is "partial Bacterial small subunit ribosomal RNA". It matches the Rfam family "Bacterial small subunit ribosomal RNA", at positions 199 to 523 of the family's 1533-position model. Lineage: Eukaryota; Bacillariophyta; Thalassiosirophyceae; Cymatosirales; Cymatosiraceae. The record is from RNAcentral.
GUGAAAUGGAGUUUAUCUGCCUGAAGAAAAGCUCGCGUCUGAUUAGCUAGUUGGUAAGGUAAUGGCUUACCAAGGCGACGAUCAGUAGCUGGUUUGAGAGGAUGAUCAGUCACACUGGAACUGAGACACGGUCCAGACUCCUACGGGAGGCAGCAGUGGGGAAUUUUCUGCAAUGGGCGCAAGCCUGACAGAGCAAUACCGCGUGAGGGAUGAAGGCUCGUGGGCUGUAAACCUCUUUUUUCAAGGAGGAAGUACUGACGUGUACUUGAAGAAUAAGCAUCGGCUAACUCCGUGCCAGCAGCCGCGGUAA